RNAcentral lists this ribosomal RNA (468 nucleotides) under uncultured bacterium. RNAcentral's name for it is "partial 16S ribosomal RNA". It matches the Rfam family "Bacterial small subunit ribosomal RNA", at positions 28 to 507 of the family's 1533-position model. The record is from RNAcentral.
GACGAACGCUGGCGGCGUGCUUAACACAUGCCAGUCGAACGAUGAUGCCAGCUUGCUGGUGGAUUAGUGGCGAACGGGUGAGUAACACGUGAGCAACCUGCCCCUGACUUCGGGAUAACCGCGGGAAACCGUGGCUAAUACCGGAUAUGACGCGCUAUCGCAUGGUGGUGUGUGGAAAGAUUUAUCGGUUGGGGAUGGGCUCGCGGCCUAUCAGCUUGUUGGUGGGGUGAUGGCCUACCAAGGCGACGACGGGUAGCCGGCCUGAGAGGGUGACCGGCCACACUGGGACUGAGACACGGCCCAGACUCCUACGGGAGGCAGCAGUGGGGAAUAUUGCACAAUGGGCGCAAGCCUGAUGCAGCGACGCCGCGUGAGGGAUGACGGCCUUCGGGUUGUAAACCUCUUUCAGUAGAGAAGAAGGCCUUCGGGUUGACGGUACCUGCAGAAGAAGCGCCGGCUAACUACGUG